CACUAUCGUUAACUGAAUACAUAGGUUAACGAGGCGAACCGGGGGAACUGAAACAUCUAAGUACCCCGAGGAAAAGAAAUCAACCGAGAUUCCCCCAGUAGCGGCGAGCGAACGGGGAGCAGCCCAGAGUCUGAAUCAGCUUGUGUGUUAGUGGAACGGUCUGGAAAGUCCGACGGUACAGGGUGAUAGUCCCGUACACCAAAAUGCACAGGUUGUGAACUCGAAGAGUAGGGCGGGACACGUGGUAUCCUGUCUGAAUAUGGGGGGACCAUCCUCCAAGGCUAAAUACUCCUGACUGACCGAUAGUGAACCAGUACCGUGAGGGAAAGGCGAAAAGAACCCCGGCGAGGGGAGUGAAAAAGAACCUGAAACCGUGUACGUACAAGCAGUGGGAGCACCUUCGGGUGUGACUGCGUACCUUUUGUAUAAUGGGUCAGCGACUUAUAUUCUGUAGCAAGGUUAACCGUAUAGGGGAGCCGCAGGGAAACCGAGUCUUAACUGGGCGUUAAGUUGCAGGGUAUAGACCCGAAACCCGGUGAUCUAGCCAUGGGCAGGUUGAAGGUUGGGUAACACUAACUGGAGGACCGAACCGACUAAUGUUGAAAAAUUAGCGGAUGACUUGUGGCUGGGGGUGAAAGGCCAAUCAAACCGGGAGAUAGCUGGUUCUCCCCGAAAGCUAUUUAGGUAGCGCCUCGUGAACUCAUCUUCGGGGGUAGAGCACUGUUUCGGCUAGGGGGUCAUCCCGACUUACCAACCCGAUGCAAACUACGAAUACCGAAGAAUGUUAUCACGGGAGACACACGGCGGGUGCUAACGUCCGUCGUGAAGAGGGAAACAACCCAGACCGCCAGCUAAGGUCCCAAAGUCAUGGUUAAGUGGGAAACGAUGUGGGAAGGCACAGACAGCCAGGAUGUUGGCUUAGAAGCAGCCAUCAUUUAAAGAAAGCGUAAUAGCUCACUGGUCGAGUCGGCCUGCGCGGAAGAUGUAACGGGGCUAAACCAUGCACCGAAGCUGCGGCAGCGACACUAUGUGUUGUUGGGUAGGGGAGCGUUCUGUAAGCCUGCGAAGGUGUGCUGUGAGGCAUGCUGGAGGUAUCAGAAGUGCGAAUGCUGACAUAAGUAACGAUAAAGCGGGUGAAAAGCCCGCUCGCCGGAAGACCAAGGGUUCCUGUCCAACGUUAAUCGGGGCAGGGUGAGUCGACCCCUAAGGCGAGGCCGAAAGGCGUAGUCGAUGGGAAACAGGUUAAUAUUCCUGUACUUGGUGUUACUGCGAAGGGGGGACGGAGAAGGCUAUGUUAGCCGGGCGACGGUUGUCCCGGUUUAAGCAUGUAGGCUGAUUGUCCAGGCAAAUCCGGAUAAUCAAGGCUGAGGUGUGAUGACGAGGCACUACGGUGCUGAAGUAACAAAUGCCCUGCUUCCAGGAAAAGCCUCUAAGCAUCAGGUAACAUUAAAUCGUACCCCAAACCGACACAGGUGGUCAGGUAGAGAAUACCAAGGCGCUUGAGAGAACUCGGGUGAAGGAACUAGGCAAAAUGGUGCCGUAACUUCGGGAGAAGGCACGCUGGUGUGUAGGUGAAGUCCCUGCGGAUGGAGCUGAGACCAGUCGAAGAUACCAGCUGGCUGCAACUGUUUAUUAAAAACACAGCACUGUGCAAACACGAAAGUGGACGUAUACGGUGUGACGCCUGCCCGGUGCCGGAAGGUUAAUUGAUGGGGUUAUCCGUAAGGAGAAGCUCUUGAUCGAAGCCCCGGUAAACGGCGGCCGUAACUAUAACGGUCCUAAGGUAGCGAAAUUCCUUGUCGGGUAAGUUCCGACCUGCACGAAUGGCGUAAUGAUGGCCAGGCUGUCUCCACCCGAGACUCAGUGAAAUUGAACUCGCUGUGAAGAUGCAGUGUACCCGCGGCAAGACGGAAAGACCCCGUGAACCUUUACUAUAGCUUGACACUGAACAUUGAGCCUUGAUGUGUAGGAUAGGUGGGAGGCUUUGAAGCGUGGACGCCAGUCUGCGUGGAGCCAACCUUGAAAUACCACCCUUUAAUGUUUGAUGUUCUAACGUUGGCCCCUUACCGGGGUUGCGGACAGUGUCUGGUGGGUAGUUUGACUGGGGCGGUCUCCUCCCAAAGCGUAACGGAGGAGCACGAAGGUUAGCUAAUCCUGGUCGGACAUCAGGAGGUUAGUGCAAUGGCAUAAGCUAGCUUGACUGCGAGCGUGACGGCGCGAGCAGGUGCGAAAGCAGGUCAUAGUGAUCCGGUGGUUCUGAAUGGAAGGGCCAUCGCUCAACGGAUAAAAGGUACUCCGGGGAUAACAGGCUGAUACCGCCCAAGAGUUCAUAUCGACGGCGGUGUUUGGCACCUCGAUGUCGGCUCAUCACAUCCUGGGGCUGAAGUAGGUCCCAAGGGUAUGGCUGUUCGCCAUUUAAAGUGGUACGCGAGCUGGGUUUAGAACGUCGUGAGACAGUUCGGUCCCUAUCUGCCGUGGGCGCUGGAGAAUUGAGGGGGGCUGCUCCUAGUACGAGAGGACCGGAGUGGACGCAUCACUGGUGUUCGGGUUGUCAUGCCAAUGGCACUGCCCGGUAGCUAAAUGCGGAAGAGAUAAGUGCUGAAAGCAUCUAAGCACGAAACUUGCCCCGAGAUGAGUUCUCCCUGAGACUAUAAGUCUCCUGAAGGAACGUUAAAGACGAUGACGUUGAUAGGCCGGGUGUGUAAGCGCAGCGAUGCGUUGAGCUAACCGGUACUAAUGAACCGUGAGGCUUAACCUU
RNAcentral lists this ribosomal RNA (2758 nucleotides) under Klebsiella pneumoniae. RNAcentral describes it as "bacterial LSU rRNA". It matches the Rfam family "Bacterial large subunit ribosomal RNA". Lineage: Bacteria; Pseudomonadati; Pseudomonadota; Gammaproteobacteria; Enterobacterales; Enterobacteriaceae. The record is from RNAcentral.